AGUGAACGCUGGCGGUAGGCCUAACACAUGCAAGUCGAACGGCAGCACAGUAAGAGCUUGCUCUUACGGGUGGCGAGUGGCGGACGGGUGAGGAAUACAUCGGAAUCUACUUUUUCGUGGGGGAUAACGUAGGGAAACUUACGCUAAUACCGCAUACGACCUAUGGGUGAAAGCAGGGGAUCUUCGGACCUUGCGCGAUUGAAUGAGCCGAUGUCGGAUUAGCUAGUUGGCGGGGUAAAGGCCCACCAAGGCGACGAUCCGUAGCUGGUCUGAGAGGAUGAUCAGCCAGACUGGAACUGAGACACGGUCCAGACUCCUACGGGAGGCAGCAGUGGGGAAUAUUGGGCAAUGGGCGCAAGCCUGAUCCAGCCAUACCGCGUGGGUGAAGAAGGCCUUCGGGUUGUAAAGCGCUUUUGUUGGGAAAGAAAAGCAGCAGGUUAAUACCCCGCUGUUCUGACGGUACCCAAAGAAUAAGCACCGGCUAACUUCGUG
RNAcentral lists this ribosomal RNA (492 nucleotides) under uncultured bacterium. RNAcentral describes it as "partial 16S ribosomal RNA". It matches the Rfam family "Bacterial small subunit ribosomal RNA", at positions 29 to 507 of the family's 1533-position model. The record is from RNAcentral.